UGGGGAAUUUUGGACAAUGGGCGAAAGCCUGAUCCAGCCAUGCCGCGUGCAGGAUGAAGGCCUUCGGGUUGUAAACUGCUUUUGUACGGAACGAAAAGACUCUGGUUAAUACCUGGGGUCCAUGACGGUACCGUAAGAAUAAGCACCGGCUAACUACGUGCCAGCAGCCGCGGUAAUACGUAGGGUGCAAGCGUUAAUCGGAAUUACUGGGCGUAAAGCGUGCGCAGGCGGUAUAUAAGACAGAUGUGAAAUCCCCGGGCUCAACCUGGGAACUGCAUUUGUGACUGUAUAGCUAGAGUACGGCAGAGGGGGAUGGAAUUCCGCNUGUAGCAGUGAAAUGCGUAGAUAUGCGGAGGAACACCGGAUGGCGAAGGCAAUCCCCUGGGCCUGUACUGACGCUCAUGCACGAAAGCGUGGGGAGCAAACAGGAUUAGAUACCCUGGUAGUCCACGCCCUAAACGAUGUCAACUGGUUGUUGGGUCUUCACUGACUCAGUAACGAAGCUAACGCGUGAAGUUGACCGCCUGGGGUAGUACGGCCGCAAGGUUGAAACUCAAAUGAA
RNAcentral lists this ribosomal RNA (562 nucleotides) under uncultured bacterium. RNAcentral describes it as "partial 16S ribosomal RNA". It matches the Rfam family "Bacterial small subunit ribosomal RNA", at positions 355 to 909 of the family's 1533-position model. The record is from RNAcentral.